RNAcentral lists this ribosomal RNA (402 nucleotides) under uncultured bacterium. RNAcentral describes it as "bacterial SSU rRNA". It matches the Rfam family "Bacterial small subunit ribosomal RNA", at positions 355 to 774 of the family's 1533-position model. The record is from RNAcentral.
UGGGGAAUCUUGCACAAUGGGGGCAACCCUGAUGCAGCGACGCCGCGUGAGCGAUGAAGCCCUUCGGGGCGUAAAGCUCUUUCGACCGGAACGAUAAUGACGGUACCGGGAGAAGAAGCUGCGGCUAACUACGUGCCAGCAGCCGCGGUAAUACGUAGGCAGCAAGCGUUGUUCGGAGUUACUGGGCGUAAAGAGUGCGUAGGCGGUUUUCUAAGUUCGGUGUGAAAUCUCCCGGCUUAACUGGGAGGGUGCGCCGAAGACUGGGAAGCUGGAGUGUGGGAAAGGCAGGCGGAAUUCCUGGUGUAGCGGUGAAAUGCGUAGAUAUCAGGAGGAACACCUGCGCUGUAGACGGCUUGCUAGACCAUAACUGACGCUGAGGCACGAAAGCGUGGGUAGCAAACA